This 505-nucleotide ribosomal RNA is filed under the name uncultured bacterium. RNAcentral's name for it is "partial 16S ribosomal RNA". It matches the Rfam family "Bacterial small subunit ribosomal RNA", at positions 28 to 507 of the family's 1533-position model. The record is from RNAcentral.
GACGAACGCUGGCGGCGUGCCUAAUACAUGCAAGUCGAACGAACAGAUGAUAACGUAGCUUGCUUCACGAUAGACUGUGAGGUGCGAACAGGUCAGGGACGAGUAAGUAACCUGACUGGGAGCGGGGGGUGACUAUGGGGAACAAAAGCUAAUACAGCAUAAUCUUAAUUAUUGAAUGGUAAAUAAUGGAAAGGCUCAAUCGCACAGCUACAUGCGGGACCUGCGAUGUAUUAGCUAGUAGGAGAGGUAACGGACCAACUAAGCGACGAUACAUAGGCGACCUUGGAGGGUGGUCGGCCACCCUGGGACUGGGACACGGCCCAGACUCCUUCGGGGGGCAGCAGUAGGGAAUCUUCGGCCAUGGACGAAAGUCCGACCGGGCAACGCCGCGGGAGGGGAGAAGGUUCUCGGAUCGUAAAGCCCCGUUUUAAGAGAAGAACGGGUGUGGGAGUGGAAAGUGCACACUGUGACGGUAUCUUACCAGAAAGCGACGGCUAACUACGUG